AGUUGAUCCAGCGAAUUUGUUUUCCCUUCGGUCUCUACAAUGAAGUCUCUUUUCGCCCUAACCCUGCUCCUGAUGGUACUCAUGGCUUGCUUCAGCCCCAUCAUCGCGAAACCGGGACACCAGACAUCAUCGGCUAACAUUAGAAAGGCCAAAACGGGUGGCGCAGCAGCCCAUCAGGCAGCGAAGGCGACUCGCGAACAACGCCGAAUUACCGGGGUCGAUAAGGGGAAAUGAUGAUGGCACAAGGAUAAGGAAGACCUGUAACAAAAACAAAUUAAUUUCGAACUAUAGCCCAAUCGAUGAUAUUCGAAAAAGUAUUUCGGGCUGUUGCUCUAAAAAUGUGAUCAUGUUUGAUAAAUAAUCUACAGUCCAAUCAGAUAAACCGAAACAAUCUUAUUACGAAAUACGUUUCACUAAAUUGAAACAGUGUUGAAAUAAAUAUUUCAGGCUCACUACAUAUUUCUCACAUGCACGUGAAUUGUUACGAAUUGAAAGUGAAAAUGUAUUCUACAUAAUUUUUUAUGACAA
Molecule: long non-coding RNA, 528 nt
Organism: Armigeres subalbatus
Lineage: Eukaryota; Metazoa; Arthropoda; Insecta; Diptera; Culicidae
Exons: 2
Source: RefSeq, a predicted model, not a curated record